UGAUUGGCGUGUAUCGGUACGUUGGAUCCCUGCUAGGGCAGCGACAACUUACCUUGCUCGCCACUUCAGUCGUUGGCAUAGGCGCGUUGAGCCUUUGUCGGAUUAUGUUUUCCUGUGUUGUAUUCCAUUAAAAGGGCAUUGAAUUUGUUCAAUUUGCAUCAGUUCGCUUCUCGUUGUGUCCCCUCGGAUUUUGGCAUGCAGUGAACUUUAAAGCAUUUGCCGUGUUCCACUUUCCUUGCAUGCACGUGCUUGGGUUGUUGGGCCACGGUCUUUGCUCGAUCUCUCGGUUGCGGUAUACAUUGUGGGCACGAGGUCACUAGUCCUCUAUUCGGCCCUUAUCGAGCGUUUAACGCUACGUUCAAACGACAGUUGUGGCCGUCUUGACUAGGUCUUUAUGGCUUGGAUCAUACGGUCCCAACGUCGAUGAGGAAUG
Molecule: unclassified non-coding RNA, 433 nt
Filed under: Drymonia rhodoloma
Lineage: Eukaryota; Viridiplantae; Streptophyta; Magnoliopsida; Lamiales; Gesneriaceae
Description: partial external transcribed spacer
Source: RNAcentral